AUUAAGGAACCUACUGAAAUUUACAAGGAUUUAAUUUUACUGUUAACACAGGAAAGGUAUUUAAGUGGUAGUAUUUUUAGGAAAAGGGCAGAUGUAGCAAGUAGAUGUUUAAUCACACAGUAUACUGGGUGAUUACAUAGGUACAGAGGCAUACUUUCCCUUACUGGUAAACUAUUUUUCAUUAUUUGAAAUUAAUUUAGUUGAAUGUAUAAAGAAUUACUUGUAAAUCUUACAUACUGAUUUCAGAAGUAAAGUAGAUUUGGGUUGCCUAGCAAGUAGAUUCUGAUUCUGAUUAUUUAUGCAUUUAUCAAAGAAUAAAACUAGAUGCCUAAGUUGAAUUUUCAUGAUUUAUUUUGAACCUUAACAAUUAUGUUUUAUUUUAGGAUGUGGGGAAAAGAGAGUUUGUGGAAGCUGAUGAGGUGGAUGAGAGUGACAUAAGUGAUUUUGAGGAUAUGGAUAAACUGGAUGCCAGCAGUGAUGAAGAUCAGGAUGAGAAAUCCUCCAGUGAGGAUGAAGAAAAGGCCCUUGAUGCCAAACACAAAGGCAAAACGCCCUUGAAAGGACCUCUGCUGAGAAAACGAGCAUAUGUGGAGAUCGAGUAUGAGCAGGAGACUGAGCCUGUGGCCAAGGCCAAAACCACGUGAUUUCCCUUCAGAGAUUUAUAGCAGGACUGAACAUUUUGAACUUUAUCCUGUCCUCAUCACACACAGACCUCCAUUUUUACUCUUUAUGUUGUAUUUAACGCAAUAUUUGUGUUUUUGAUAUUUAUGCCACUUCUAUGGGGCAAGAAAUCUGGGAGAGAGUGGAGGAAAUCUUUAAAGUUGUAAACAGAGUAUUUUUAUAGCUUUGGCAUGUGUUGAGGUGACAGCUUGAGCCCAAGAAGCUUAACAGAUGAGUUUGUGGUUGUAAAUAUUUCUAAGUUUUAAAUGCUACCCACCCUGGGUGCCCCCCAACUUUAUUCAGAAAAGUUCUGACUUUUUUUUUCUUGUCCCUUCCCUACUUCUUUGGGAGUAAAAGGAAAAAGAUCUAGAUUAUAAUGUAUAACAAUACCUUCUUUCUCAAAUAAUUCCACUUAUACAACAAGAAAAUCCUCUUCUCUUUAAGAAAUAUGGAUCUCAAGUCCCACUGUAGGGCUCGCUGUCAGAAACCCGCUGCACCUUUCUGAUACAGCUCACCACCUUGCUGUCUUCGCAGCUUUGGGGGAUUUUGGCCAGGAGACCCUGAAACAUGAAACCAAACAGUCUUUGAUAUUUUUUGUUAUUUUUUUUCUUAUACCUUGGUUCUUCUUUCCUGGUACCAUACUCAAAGAAGGAAAGACUGGAUGACACUAGAGGCCAGUUCACAGAACAAGUGUAACUAAGAACUGUUGGCUUGCUUGGAAAUGUCCUGCUGCUCAUGAAGCAGCAGCUUAAUACCAGCUGAGGCGAAUUACAUUGGAUCUAGGACUUGAAAACUGCCUGAGGUUAAAGGGCCGAGAUGAAAUUUAAUCUGACAAAACUAAUAAAACAACAAACUAUACUAUCUCUAAA
This is a non-coding RNA of Miniopterus natalensis, 1529 nucleotides long. Lineage: Eukaryota; Metazoa; Chordata; Mammalia; Chiroptera; Miniopteridae. The record is from RefSeq and is a predicted model, not a curated record.